UCUGUACAGUGAACGAGGAUACACGAGAGAAAUCUUCAUCUUCUUCUUCUUCCUUCCGAUACUGUUUCUUGAUUCAUCUUUGACCAUCUUUUCCUUUGAUUCUUUCUUUUUCCUGAGAUCGUUUUGUUCUUUCAUCUAUGGCGAAUCAAACCCCACCUGAAAUUUCUUCUCCAGAUCCAUCUGCGAAUAUUUCUUCAUGCGGCUGACGCUUCCAGCCUCACUCUCGUUACUGAAAAACUCUGGUGAAGAAAAUCGCACCCUCUGGUCCCGAUCGAUCAUCAAAGCGCUGACAGCCAAAAACAAACUAGGGUUUAUACACGGCACAGUUCCUAAGCCGUCUGAGGAGCACCCAGAUUCAGGUUCGUGGAUGCGCUGUAACGCUCUUGUUUGCACUUGGCUCACGAAUUCUGUUUGCUCCGUUGUUGUUCGAGCAAUUUCACACACUCAGCUCAAGGGGCUCGGCAGUUCUCACAUGGACUCAGUUGUGGUAGUAGCCACGUCUGUUGUGACUUACGCUUAUUUUCUGCACUUCAUCCUAUCUCUCCUGUUGACAUUUCUCUGCCCAACGGCUCUACCAUAUCUGUUUCCCAUUCUUAAAAAAAAAAAUGAAUCUUUGUAUAUAUCCUUGACAAAGAAUCGUUUACGAGUGCAUACAGAAACAAACUGAAUCUGGAACAGACAAUGUUCCUAGGUGUAAGGAACUAAACACAAAUGAAUCAAUGUUCCUAAGUUUAGGCAAAGAACGAAGAGCUUGUCUUGAUCGACCGGAUUCAACAGUGGGAUUCUGCACUUCCCCUAAGCUGACCUCUGCAACAUAACGACGAGGCGUAUGAUUUCAUGG
This is an RNA transcript of Tarenaya hassleriana, 841 nucleotides long. RefSeq lists it as uncharacterized. NCBI's taxonomy places the organism in Eukaryota, Viridiplantae, Streptophyta, Magnoliopsida, Brassicales, Cleomaceae. The record is from RefSeq and is a predicted model, not a curated record. The transcript is spliced from 3 exons.